This 68-nucleotide transfer RNA is filed under the name Marmota monax (woodchuck). RNAcentral's name for it is "tRNA.Ser". Lineage: Eukaryota; Metazoa; Chordata; Mammalia; Rodentia; Sciuridae. The record is from RNAcentral.
GCUGUAGCUCAAUGGCAGAGUGCUAGCCUAGAAAGGGUGAGGCUCUGGGUUCAAUCCUCAGCAUUGCA